This 217-nucleotide ribosomal RNA is filed under the name Dirofilaria immitis (dog heartworm nematode). Its description in RNAcentral is "partial small subunit ribosomal RNA". The record is from RNAcentral. Lineage: Eukaryota; Metazoa; Nematoda; Chromadorea; Rhabditida; Onchocercidae.
UAUAGUGAAUUUUGUUGGCGCAUGUAUGAUUGUUUAGUUUUUACWUUUUUGGUAAUGCUUUGUGUUUUAUACAUUUAAAACAGAUAUAUAUUUGGCUUAUGGAUUUAUUUUUCAUGUGUUACUAUUGUUAAUUUUCUUUGGAUUAAUUUUUAAUUUUUUUGUUGAAAUUGSAAAAGAAAGUAAUUUUUUCUUAAUGUAAUAAUGAAUUUAAUAAAUA